RNAcentral lists this long non-coding RNA (377 nucleotides) under Malus domestica (apple). RNAcentral's name for it is "long non-coding RNA (MDOM_LNC011049)". Lineage: Eukaryota; Viridiplantae; Streptophyta; Magnoliopsida; Rosales; Rosaceae. The record is from RNAcentral.
UCUCUUCGGCGGAGAAGACGACGAUCUGAACUGAUUGCAUCCUAUCGGCGAAUUUGAGAAAAACAAGAUCUUGAGGCGGAAAUUGAAUAAUUGAUUGACUGUAGACAUGGCGGAAGAGCACAGAUGCGAAGCCCCAGAAGGCCACCACCUCUGCGCAAACAACUGCGGGUUCUUCGGCAGCCCGGCCACCAUGAACCUCUGCUCCAAAUGCUACAGAGAUUUCUGCCUCAAGGAGCAGCAGGAGGCCUCGAUUAAAUCCACCGUCGAAGCCUCCCUCUCCGCCUCCGCCGCCUCCGCCGCCGCCGCUUCUCCUCCUUGUUCUCCGCCUUCAACAUCCUUGCCUUCUUCUGCGGCAGCGAUCGAGACUCAAUGUCAGC